This 497-nucleotide ribosomal RNA is filed under the name uncultured bacterium. RNAcentral describes it as "partial 16S ribosomal RNA". It matches the Rfam family "Bacterial small subunit ribosomal RNA", at positions 28 to 507 of the family's 1533-position model. The record is from RNAcentral.
GAUGAACGCUGGCGGCGUGCCUAAUACAUGCAAGUCGAGCGAACAGACGAGGAUCUUGCUCCUCUGACGUUAGCGGCGGACGUGUGAGUAACGCGUGUAUAACCUACCUGUAUGAGUGGUAUAACUUCGGGAAACCGGAGCUUAUACCGUAUAAUAUAUUGAACCGCAUGGUUGAAUAGUGAAAUUCGGUUUUUCUGUCACGUAUAGAUGGAUCUGCGCCGGAUUGGCUAGUUGGUAAGGUAACGGCUUACGAAGGGAACGAUGCGUAGACGACCUGAGAGGGUGGUAGGCCACAUGAGAACUGAGACACCGUCCAGGCGCCUGCGGGAGGGAGCAGUAGGGAAUCUUCCGCAGUAGGCGAAAGUCUGGCGGAGCGACGCCGCGUCAGAGAUAAAGGUCUUCGGAUCGUAAAACUCUGUUAUUAGGGAAGAACAAAUGUGUAAGUAACUAUGCACGUAUUGACGGUACCUAGUCAGAAAGCCCCGGCUAACUACGUG